GCUUUCGCUGACGAGUGGCGGACGGGUGAGUAAUGUCUGGGAAACUGCCUGAUGGAGGGGGAUAACUACUGGAAACGGUAGCUAAUACCGCAUAACGUCGCAAGACCAAAGAGGGGGACCUUCGGGCCUCUUGCCAUCGGAUGUGCCCAGAUGGGAUUAGCUUGUUGGUGGGGUAACGGCUCACCAAGGCGACGAUCCCUAGCUGGUCUGAGAGGAUGACCAGCCACACUGGAACUGAGACACGGUCCAGACUCCUACGGGAGGCAGCAGUGGGGAAUAUUGCACAAUGGGCGCAAGCCUGAUGCAGCCAUGCCGCGUGUAUGAAGAAGGCCUUCGGGUUGUAAAGUACUUUCAGCGGGGAGGAAGGGAGUAAAGUUAAUACCUUUGCUCAUUGACGUUACCCGCAGAAGAAGCACCGGCUAACUCCGUGCCAGCAGCCGCGGUAAUACGGAGGGUGCAAGCGUUAAUCGGAAUUACUGGGCGUAAAGCGCACGCAGGCGGUUUGUUAAGUCAGAUGU
Molecule: ribosomal RNA, 518 nt
Filed under: Shigella flexneri
Lineage: Bacteria; Pseudomonadati; Pseudomonadota; Gammaproteobacteria; Enterobacterales; Enterobacteriaceae
Description: bacterial SSU rRNA
Rfam family: Bacterial small subunit ribosomal RNA
Source: RNAcentral